Molecule: ribosomal RNA, 585 nt
Filed under: uncultured bacterium
Lineage: Bacteria
Description: partial 16S ribosomal RNA
Rfam family: Bacterial small subunit ribosomal RNA
Source: RNAcentral
UGGGGAAUUUUGGACAAUGGGCGAAAGCCUGAUCCAGCAAUGCCGCGUGUGUGAAGAAGGCCUUCGGGUUGUAAAGCACUUUUGUCCGGAAAGAAAUCCUUGGCUCUAAUACAGUCGGGGGAUGACGGUACCGGAAGAAUAAGCACCGGCUAACUACGUGCCAGCAGCCGCGGUAAUACGUAGGGUGCAAGCGUUAAUCGGAAUUACUGGGCGUAAAGCGUGCGCAGGCGGUUUGCUAAGACCGAUGUGAAAUCCCCGGGCUCAACCUGGGAACUGCAUUGGUGACUGGCAGGCUAGAGUAUGGCAGAGGGGGGUAGAAUUCCACGUGUAGCAGUGAAAUGCGUAGAGAUGUGGAGGAAUACCGAUGGCGAAGGCAGCCCCCUGGGCCAAUACUGACGCUCAUGCACGAAAGCGUGGGGAGCAAACAGGAUUAGAUACCCUGGUAGUCCACGCCCUAAACGAUGUCAACUAGUUGUCGGGUCUUCAUUGACUUGGUAACGCAGCUAACGCGUGAAGUUGACCGCCUGGGGAGUACGGUCGCAAGAUUAAAACUCAAAUGAAUUGACGGGGUCAUAGCUGUUUCCU